This 257-nucleotide ribosomal RNA is filed under the name uncultured Anaerococcus sp. RNAcentral's name for it is "partial 16S ribosomal RNA". It matches the Rfam family "Bacterial small subunit ribosomal RNA", at positions 99 to 354 of the family's 1533-position model. Lineage: Bacteria; Bacillati; Bacillota; Tissierellia; Tissierellales; Peptoniphilaceae. The record is from RNAcentral.
CGGACGGGUGAGUAACGCGUGAGUAACCUGCCUUACACAAGGGGAUAGCCGUUGGAAACGACGAAUAAUACCCUAUGACAUAAACUCUUCGCAUGAAGAACUUAUCAAAGAUUUAUCGGUGUAAGAUGGACUUGCGUCUGAUUAGCUAGUUGGUGAGGUAACGGCCCACCAAGGCGACGAUCAGUAGCCGGCUUGAGAGAGUGUACGGCCACAUUGGGACUGAGACACGGCCCAGACUCCUACGGGAGGCAGCAGAA